UCUACAGCCUGCUUUGAAUGGAGAGCUGCACUCUGAAGGGUUGGCUUCCCACAAGCUGCGGAAAGAAUAGAGCUAAUUCAUCAACUACGGCAGGAGUUCUUACUUCCUGGGCAGGGAAUUGAUCAGUUUCAGGUUUCAGUGACAUACACAGAUACAAGGUGCUGAUACCAGUCCCAUCAGCUGUGCCUAGAGGUCUUAAACUCCCAUCCUCCUUGAUGUAUUCAUCUGCGCCCUGUCCCCAUGACAGAUUCAGAUUCUGGAAGCUGGAGUUUCCAACUUUGUGAAGAGCGGUAACUGACGAGUUUCCCAAUAACCUCUACUACACACAAUCUUUCCUGGACAUGGCUUAUUCUAAUGAUAUCAGCCCCUU
Long non-coding RNA from Terrapene triunguis (Three-toed box turtle), 370 nucleotides. RefSeq lists it as uncharacterized. The transcript is spliced from 3 exons. The record is from RefSeq and is a predicted model, not a curated record. NCBI's taxonomy places the organism in Eukaryota, Metazoa, Chordata, Testudines, Emydidae.